This 497-nucleotide ribosomal RNA is filed under the name uncultured bacterium. RNAcentral describes it as "partial 16S ribosomal RNA". It matches the Rfam family "Bacterial small subunit ribosomal RNA", at positions 28 to 507 of the family's 1533-position model. The record is from RNAcentral.
GAUGAACGCUGGCGGCGUGCCUAAUACAUGCAAGUCGAGCGAACGGACGAUAAGCUUGCUUCUCUGAUGUUAGCGGCGGACGGGGGAGUAACACGUGUAUAACCUACCUAUAAGACUGGGAAAACUUCGGGAAACCGGAGCUUAUACCGGAUAAUAUUUUGAACCGCAUGGGUCAAAAGUGAAAGACGGUCUUGCUGUCACUUAUAGCUGGAUCCGCGCUGCAUGAGCUAGUUGGUAAGGUAACGGCUUACCAAGGCAACGCUGCAUAGCCGACCUGAGAGGGUGAUCGGCCACACUGGAACUGAGACACGGUCCAGACUCCUACGGGAGGCAGCAGUAGGGAAUCUUCCGCAAUGGGCGAAAGCCUGACGGAGCAACGCCGCGUGAGUGAUGAAGGUCUUCGGAUCGUAAAACUCUGUUAUUAGGGAAGAACAUAUGUGUAAGUAACUGUGCACAUCUUGACGGUAACUAAUCAGAAAGCCACGGCUAACUACGUG